RNAcentral lists this ribosomal RNA (569 nucleotides) under uncultured bacterium. RNAcentral's name for it is "bacterial SSU rRNA". It matches the Rfam family "Bacterial small subunit ribosomal RNA", at positions 338 to 916 of the family's 1533-position model. The record is from RNAcentral.
CCUACGGGAGGCAGCAGUGGGGAAUAUUGCACAAUGGGCGAAAGCCUGAUGCAGCAACGCCGCGUGAGGGACGAAGGCCUUCGGGUUGUAAACCUCUUUUAGUAGGGAAGAAGCGAAAGUGACGGUACCUGCAGAAAAAGCACCGGCUAACUACGUGCCAGCAGCCGCGGUAAUACGUAGGGUGCAAGCGUUGUCCGGAAUUAUUGGGCGUAAAGAGCUCGUAGGCGGUUUGUCGCGUCUGCUGUGAAAACUGGAGGCUCAACCUCCAGCCUGCAGUGGGUACGGGCAGACUAGAGUGCGGUAGGGGAGAUUGGAAUUCCUGGUGUAGCGGUGGAAUGCGCAGAUAUCAGGAGGAACACCGAUGGCGAAGGCAGAUCUCUGGGCCGUAACUAGACGCUGAGGAGCGAAAGCAUGGGGAGCGAACAGGAUUAGAUACCCUGGUAGUCCAUGCCGUAAACGUUGGGAACUAGAUGUAGGGGCCAUUCCACGGUUUCUGUGUCGCAGCUAACGCAUUAAGUUCCCCGCCUGGGGAGUACGGCCGCAAGGCUAAAACUCAAAUGAAUUGACGG